UUAAAAAGAUUUUAAAAAGUGCUAUUGAGG
RNAcentral lists this non-coding RNA (30 nucleotides) under Mus musculus (house mouse). Lineage: Eukaryota; Metazoa; Chordata; Mammalia; Rodentia; Muridae. The record is from RNAcentral.